RNAcentral lists this ribosomal RNA (465 nucleotides) under Vreelandella stevensii. RNAcentral describes it as "partial 16S ribosomal RNA". It matches the Rfam family "Bacterial small subunit ribosomal RNA", at positions 338 to 795 of the family's 1533-position model. Lineage: Bacteria; Pseudomonadati; Pseudomonadota; Gammaproteobacteria; Oceanospirillales; Halomonadaceae. The record is from RNAcentral.
CCUACGGGAGGCAGCAGUGGGGAAUAUUGGACAAUGGGGGGAACCCUGAUCCAGCCAUGCCGCGUGUGUGAAGAAGGCCCUCGGGUUGUAAAGCACUUUCAGUGAGGAAGAACGCCUGGUGGUUAAUACCCAUCAGGAAAGACAUCACUCACAGAAGAAGCACCGGCUAACUCCGUGCCAGCAGCCGCGGUAAUACGGAGGGUGCGAGCGUUAAUCGGAAUUACUGGGCGUAAAGCGCGCGUAGGUGGCUUGAUAAGCCGGUUGUGAAAGCCCCGGGCUCAACCCGGGAACGGCAUCCGGAACUGUCAAGCUAGAGUGCAGGAGAGGAAGGUAGAAUUCCCGGUGUAGCGGUGAAAUGCGUAGAGAUCGGGAGGAAUACCAGUGGCGAAGGCGGCCUUCUGGACUGACACUGACACUGAGGUGCGAAAGCGUGGGUAGCAAACAGGAUUAGAUACCCGAGUAGUC